GAUGAAGAACGUAGUGAAAUGCGAUAAGUAAUGUGAAUUGCAGAAUUCAGUGAAUCAUCGAAUCUUUGAACGCACAUUGCGCCCGCCAGUAUUCUGGCGGGCAUGCCUGUUCGAGCGUCAUUUCAACCAUCAAGCCCCCGGCUUGUGUUGGGGACCUGCGGCUGCCGCAGGCCCUGAAAACCAGUGGCGGGCUCGCUAGUCACUCCGAGCGUAGUAAUACAUCUCGCUCAGGGCGUGCUGCGGGUUCCGGCCGUUAAAAAGCCUUAUUUACCCAAGGUUGACCUCGGAUCAGGUAGGAAGACCCGCUGAAUUUAAGCAUAUCAAUAAGCGGAGGA
This 335-nucleotide unclassified non-coding RNA is filed under the name soil metagenome. Its description in RNAcentral is "partial contains 5.8S ribosomal RNA, internal transcribed spacer 2, and large subunit ribosomal RNA". The stretch from base 1 to 120 matches the Rfam family "5.8S ribosomal RNA", at positions 35 to 154 of the family's 154-position model. The record is from RNAcentral.